Molecule: ribosomal RNA, 497 nt
Filed under: uncultured bacterium
Lineage: Bacteria
Description: partial 16S ribosomal RNA
Rfam family: Bacterial small subunit ribosomal RNA
Source: RNAcentral
GAUGAACGCUGGCGGCGUGCCUAAUACAUGCCAGUCGAGCGAACGGACGAGAAGCUUGCUUCUCUGAUGUUAGCGGCGGACGGGUGAGUAACACGUGGAUAACCUACCUAUAAGACUGGGAUAACUUCGGGAAACCGGAGCUAAUACCGGAUAAUAUUUUGAACCGCAUGGUUCAAAAGUGAAAGACGGUCUUGCUGUCACUUAUAGAUGGAUCCGCGCUGCAUUAGCUAGUUGGUAAGGUAACGGCUUACCAAGGCAACGAUGCAUAGCCGACCUGAGAGGGUGAUCGGCCACACUGGAAUUGAGACACGGUCCAGACUCCUACGGGAGGCAGCAGUAGGGAAUCUUCCGCAAUGGGCGAAAGCCUGACGGAGCAACGCCGCGUGAGUGAUGAAGGUCUUCGGAUCGUAAAACUCUGUUAUUAGGGAAGAACAUAUGUGUAAGUAACUGUGCACAUCUUGACGGUACCUAAUCAGAAAGCCACGGCUAACUACGUG